This 486-nucleotide ribosomal RNA is filed under the name uncultured bacterium. RNAcentral describes it as "bacterial SSU rRNA". It matches the Rfam family "Bacterial small subunit ribosomal RNA", at positions 30 to 513 of the family's 1533-position model. The record is from RNAcentral.
AUUGAACGCUGGCGACAGGCCUAACACAUGCAAGUCGAGCGCGAAAGUCUUCGGAUGAGUAAAGCGGCGAACGGGUGAGUAAUGCAUGGGAAUCUGCCUGGUAGUGGGGGACAACGUCUCGAAAGGGACGCUAAUACCGCAUACGCCCUACGGGGGAAAGGGGGGGAUCUUCGGACCUCUCGCUAUCAGAUGAGCCCAUGUCAGAUUAGCUAGUUGGUGAGGUAAAGGCUCACCAAGGCGACGAUCUGUAACUGGUCUGAGAGGAUGAUCAGUCACACUGGAACUGAGACACGGUCCAGACUCCUACGGGAGGCAGCAGUGGGGGAAUAUUGGACAAUGGGGGCAACCCUGAUCCAGCCAUGCCGCGUGUGUGAAGAAGGCCCUAGGGUUGUAAAGCACUUUCAGUGGGGAGAAAGGUUAUUCACCUAAUACGUGAGUAGAUUGAUGUUACCCACAGAAGAAGCACCGGCUAACUCCGUGCCAGCA